This 353-nucleotide unclassified non-coding RNA is filed under the name soil metagenome. Its description in RNAcentral is "partial contains 5.8S ribosomal RNA, internal transcribed spacer 2, and large subunit ribosomal RNA". The stretch from base 1 to 120 matches the Rfam family "5.8S ribosomal RNA", at positions 35 to 154 of the family's 154-position model. The record is from RNAcentral.
GAUGAAGAACGCAGCGAAAUGCGAUAAGUAAUGUGAAUUGCAGAAUUCAGUGAAUCAUCGAAUCUUUGAACGCACAUUGCGCCCGCCAGUAUUCUGGCGGGCAUGCCUGUUCGAGCGUCAUUACAACCCUCAGGCCCCCGGGCCUGGCGUUGGGGAUCGGCGGAAGCCCCCUGCGGGCACAACGCCGUCCCCCAAAUACAGUGGCGGUCCCGCCGCAGCUUCCAUUGCGUAGUAGCUAACACCACGCAACUGGAGAGCGGCGCGGCCACGCCGUAAAACACCCAACUUCUGAAUGUUGACCUCGAAUCAGGUAGGAAUACCCGCUGAACUUAAGCAUAUCAAUAAGCGGAGGA